AGGAUGAAUGCUGGCGGCGUGCCUAAUACAUGCAAGUCGAGCGGUAAGGCCCUUCGGGGUACACGAGCGGCGGACGGCUGAGUAACGCGUGGGAACAUGCCCCAAAGUGAGGGAUAAGCAUCGGAAACGGUGUCUAAUACCGCAUAUGGUCUUCGGAUUAAAGGAUUUAUCCGCUUUGGGAGUGGCCCGCGUACGAUUAGGUUGUUGGUGAGGUAAUGGCUCACCAAGCCUACGAUCGUUAACUGGUCUGAGAGGAUGACCAGUCAGACUGGAACUGAGACACGGUCCAGACUCCUACGGGAGGCAGCAGUAAGGAAUCUUCCACAAUGGGCGAAAGCCUGAUGGAGCAACGCCGCGUGCAGGAUGAAGGCCCUCGGGUCGUAAACUGCUUUUAUGAGUGAAGAAUAUGGCGGUAACUCAUGAAUAAGCACCGGCUAACUACGCGCCAGCAGCCGC
Molecule: ribosomal RNA, 456 nt
Filed under: uncultured bacterium
Lineage: Bacteria
Description: SSU rRNA
Rfam family: Bacterial small subunit ribosomal RNA
Source: RNAcentral